Molecule: unclassified non-coding RNA, 1300 nt
Filed under: Bombus terrestris (buff-tailed bumblebee)
Lineage: Eukaryota; Metazoa; Arthropoda; Insecta; Hymenoptera; Apidae
Description: misc RNA ENSBTSG00005023427.1
Source: RNAcentral
UAUCAUAGGCCUUCACAAUAACGUAGUAAUUUAAUACAUUCAUCUUUUCAAAUUUAUCAACCUCUUAUAUUAGUUUUGUCUCUUCAAAUAUAUCACCAAUAUAUACAGGUGACGUGUUGUUCCACGAUAAAACGACCAUUUUUAUCUUUCUAACGGUAUCAACUAUAAAUAUAUACCAUAGUGAAUUAGUUCAUCUCUAUAACGUACUAUGACGCUGACGCUACUAGAUCGAAUAUUCAUAUUUAAAUAAAUAUGUAUAUCACUCUUUUUAGAAUACAGAAUCAUUUAUUUAACAAUAAGGUUACAAACGAGGUCAUACCCACAUAAAUGUAUUAAUCUAGAAAUACAUUCGUUCACAACAACCAUUCGCUUCAUAAAGGUAGAAAAUCCAAAUACUUUCCGGAUUUAUUUGAGGUCAUUAUCCGUUCGUAACAUAAUGAUUACGCACAAUCUACAAAUACCGCUAAACACUCUCUUCAAUUCACACACUCGGAAACAUUCUCAUAACACAAAACAUACAAUUGUUCAGUUUCCUCGAAAUUUAAAUUUAUCGGAAUAAUAACAAUAAUCAAUAGUUCUAUCUCACGAAUUAUUAUAAAUUGCAUAUUUACAAUAGUAUUCAUGCUCCUCUUCUCCAUUUUUCACCAUUACUGAACUUAGUCAUUUCUCGACCGCUUACUCCACACGUGCCGAUUCCAACUCGACCAUUUACAUUUUCUGGUGUUGCAAAUAUACUCUUCUUAAUCACACCUUUCUUAGAAGACUGCGUUAAAAAACAUAGUAUAUUAAUAAUUAAUAAUUAAAAAAUUUGGUAACGAUUUGAAAAAUGAAAAGUACUUUAUUUGUAAAUGCUAGCCAUUUGUUUUUCUCCAUUUCGCGCUCUUCUUCAAGUUCCUUAAAUCGCUGAAGUUUCCUCUGUUUCUUUUUUUUUAGAUAUUCUCUUUGUUUGUUAGGAUCUGAACCUGCUACUGCAGCAGCUUGCAUUUUUCUGAAAAUUAAUAAACCUAUCAUUCGUGAAACCACUAGUGAUAAAUCUACCAUGAUGUUUCCAUAUAACAUUUUUGGCUAAAAAUAGAAAAUAUGAAUAAUGAAUUCUGUAAUGAAUUUUAGCAAUAUUGAUUAUUGUAAAAUGAAUUAUAUGUAAACAGAAUAAGUGGUUACUACUACUUCAUGAAAUAUAAAAUCUAAUAAAUCGUUCCAUCUCUAUGAGAAUAAUGAUAAAAUAGAAAUAAUUUUAAUUCACCUAAAAACUUAUUAAUGCAAAUUAAUGUAAAUACAGCUAAAAAUUUACUUACAAUUA